This 494-nucleotide ribosomal RNA is filed under the name uncultured bacterium. RNAcentral describes it as "partial 16S ribosomal RNA". It matches the Rfam family "Bacterial small subunit ribosomal RNA", at positions 28 to 507 of the family's 1533-position model. The record is from RNAcentral.
GACGAACGCUGGCGGCGUGCCUAAUACAUGCAAGUCGAACGGUUUAGUUCCAAGAGGCUUGCCUUUUGGAACUAGACAGUGGCGGACGGGUGAGUAACACGUAGGCAACCUACCUGUCAAACCGGGAUAACCUCGGGAAACCGAAGCUAAACCCGGAUAAGCUCCUUUUUCGCAUGAAGGGGGAGUGAAAAGGUGCGACCUGAUGACAGAUGGGCCUGCGGCGCAUUAGCUAGUAGGUAGGGUAACGGCCUCCCUAGGCGGUGAUGCGUAGCCGACCUGAGAGUGCGCAAGGCCACAAUGGGACUGCGGUACGGCCCACUCUCCUACGGGAGGCAGCAGUAGGGAAUCUUCGGGAAUGGGCGAAAGCCUGACCGAGCAACGCCGCGUGAGUGAGGCAGGCCUUCGGGUUGUAAAGCUCUGUUGUUUGGGAAGAAGGGAAAGGGUAGGACCCUUUGGUGACGGUACCAAACGAGAAAGCCCCGGCUAACUACGUG